CAAGGAUCUUCCACUGGACCUGUCCUACCUUCCUAAUAUCUGUGUGAUGUGACGAUCUGGUCUGUGAUGCUAACUGAAUGGAGAGCUUACAUUAAGCGCGACAAUGAUAAUUACUAGAUGCGUUCCCAGCAGCGAGACCUGCUACAUGUUACCGCUGUGCAAACGCAUGAACGGUCGUUAUUUUUCUGAAUGCUGAUAGCACUGAAUUUCUCUUCAUCCUUAGUAAUAGAAAUAUACAUACGACUUAUUAGAUGCUCGACCCGAUGACUGCUAAAUUUUUGUUCUUCAUGCCUGGUAUGUCGCUGUUGGUGUCCAAACUGGCUGAUGGGACGGCUAUGAACACCAAUAUAAAACCCUUUUCUAUUGAAAAGGGGAAAAAUUAACAGGCAACAUUCAGAAAAAGUAAA
Long non-coding RNA from Daphnia carinata, 407 nucleotides. RefSeq lists it as uncharacterized. Lineage: Eukaryota; Metazoa; Arthropoda; Branchiopoda; Diplostraca; Daphniidae. The transcript has 3 exons. The record is from RefSeq and is a predicted model, not a curated record.